GGGUGAGUAACGCGUGGGAACGUACCUUUUGGUUCGGAACAACACAGGGAAACUUGUGCUAAUACCGGAUAAGCCCUUACGGGGAAAGAUUUAUCGCCGAAAGAUCGGCCCGCGUCUGAUUAGCUAGUUGGUGAGGUAAUGGCUCACCAAGGCGACGAUCAGUAGCUGGUCUGAGAGGAUGAUCAGCCACAUUGGGACUGAGACACGGCCCAAACUCCUACGGGAGGCAGCAGUGGGAA
RNAcentral lists this ribosomal RNA (239 nucleotides) under Bradyrhizobium sp. F4b. RNAcentral's name for it is "partial 16S rRNA". It matches the Rfam family "Bacterial small subunit ribosomal RNA", at positions 104 to 360 of the family's 1533-position model. Lineage: Bacteria; Pseudomonadati; Pseudomonadota; Alphaproteobacteria; Hyphomicrobiales; Nitrobacteraceae. The record is from RNAcentral.